AAUCAAAGAAGUUCGGCUACCCCCGGCACGUCCUGUGCCAACGGCGAACUGACCUACAUCCUGCAGG
RNAcentral lists this small RNA (67 nucleotides) under Halobacillus sp. BBL2006. RNAcentral's name for it is "Bacillaceae-1 RNA". It matches the Rfam family "Bacillaceae-1 RNA". The record is from Rfam by way of RNAcentral. Lineage: Bacteria; Bacillati; Bacillota; Bacilli; Caryophanales; Bacillaceae.